AAAUCAUGUAAUAUUUUCUCUUUGUUACAAAUCGAAUGACAGAAGUUCUCCAACAACACGAUAAAGUUCACUACAAAACAUAUCACAUUAAUAGUGGCUGCUAAGAGUAAUUCACUCAGUUUGCAUCUGAGAAAGCUCUCCACAGAGCAGGAAGAACCAAGGCAUCUUAUUUCCAUGUUCUCCUUUUCUCUCUCAUCUGAGAUUUUGCUCUGUUCAAAUCAUGGAAAUACUCAACAAAGAUGCGUUUGCCAUGGCAAAUCCGAGUCCUUGUCUCAGCUGCAGUAUUUUAAUGGAUUGCAGACAGAUGGAUAUCUCUUGGGAUUCCAAAAGGCGGCCUUUGUAGUCUUCUGGGUCUGCAUCUCAAGGAUUGGUGAACUGGCCUUGUCCAUGUUCACUUCAUGGAGAAAGGGGGAGCUCCCCUUGGGACUGAAGCCCUGUGGCUCAGUGCCGGUCAUCGUGUUUCAUUCUCAGUCAUGGCAUCUUUGACACUUCUCGAGGCCUAGAACUGAUCUGUCCUCAACCUCAGCAGCAAUUCAUGACCGCACGCACUCAUUUGGCAAUCUUCACUUGUUUUACAUGCAUUAACUCGAUAUCUUUAUGUAGGAAACUAAUCCUGUUGUUUUGGCCAGGUUCGAUGUCUCGAAUAUCGGAUUUAUAGACUGGAUUGAUACAGAUCUGAUCUUUACCGAUGUACUAACACAUGAUAAACCAAGGAUUUCGAUGAGGAGAGUUCAUUCGCGGCUUACGAAUGCUUCCUUAUUAUAUAUAAUAGAGAUAUUAUUAUAUAUGAAAGAUCAGUACCACCUCAAUGUAGCAGUUCAUGAUGCUGCAGGCUUUGAUGACAUAGAAACAACAGAAUCUACAGAGAUGAUUAAGGUAAUGUGGAAGUCCAAUUAAUCUUCUUGGAAACAUAUCAUGAAAAGAAAUGCAGAUCAUAAUCUGCAUUCCAGUUGAAGCAGGCCAGGGGGGAGGAACCUUGCUCCAUUGGAGGCAAACUUGCUGAUAAAAAAUGUGUUACAUGUCACAACACCUCAUCUCCUUCCACUUGAAGCAGGAAGUCCAAACUUGCUUACUUCUGGUAUGAUGACAUGCAGUGUAUCCACCCCAAAAGUCUCCUAAACACAGCUGCCCUUGCCCAUGAACAAGACAACCUCAUCCAUAUCAUGAUCAGAACCCCUCUUGCCAUUCUCACUGCCUCCCUCUCUCAUCUCUCCGUUGCUUCCUUUAGAGAAAGAGAAGACACCCAGGGCUCACAUAUGUUCCUUGAUCUUUGAGAGUUGAGAUUUUGAGUUGCCAAAGGGCUCCAAAUUACUGAAGCACAUUUAGGAAGGUGCUGCAAAAUCAGACAGGCAAACUUUUUGGUGAUUGAGAUUCUGUGACUUGUGAAGAACCUGAAAGCUGUAUCAAAAGUCUGAAACUGAAGGAGCAUUUCACUUGCACUCUGAGUCGAGGUUUUCUGCGGUCUGCAACCUUAUUACAGUGGUAGAAUGGAAAGAAGAGAAAGGAGAACUUUGACUGAAAGACCAAGAGUGGAGUUCAUGAGGUCCCAAUCACAAGCCAAUGCCCCAAGAAGAUUUCAUUCAAGCUAUUACACAGUGGAAUCCUUCUUUAUCCUUCUCUGCCUCACAGUCUCACUGCUAAUUCUUCCUCUUAUAUUGCCACCAUUGCCUCCACCCCCUUUCUUGUUGCUGUUCAUCCCAAUAGGUCUGCUUUUUGUGCUACUGUUCAUGGCUUACAUGCCCUCACAAGCCCAGGAUGUCACCUCCCCCUACUUGGAAUGUGCUGAAACUUUCUCAUGCACAUGAAAUUGGCCAACUGCGCAGAUUUUGUAAUUUGUUUCAAAUCUAUUCUUAAUAAUGUUCAAUUGCAGAGUAAA
This is a long non-coding RNA of Musa acuminata AAA Group (dessert banana), 1876 nucleotides long. RefSeq lists it as uncharacterized. The record is from RefSeq and is a predicted model, not a curated record. The transcript is spliced from 2 exons. NCBI's taxonomy places the organism in Eukaryota, Viridiplantae, Streptophyta, Magnoliopsida, Zingiberales, Musaceae.